GCUUUUUGGGUUGUAAAGCACUUUAAGCCGAGGAGGAGGCUACUUAGGAUUAAUACUCUAGGAUAGUGGACGUUACUCGCAGAAUAAGCACCUGGCUAACUCUGUGCCAGCAGCCGCGGUAAUACAGAGGGUGCGAGCGUUAAUCGGAUUUACUGGGCGUAAAGCGUGCGUAGGCGGCUUUUUAAGUCGGAUGUGAAAUCCCUGAGCUUAACUUAGGAAUUGCAUUCGAUACUGGGAAGCUAGAGUAUGGGAGAGGAUGGUAGAAUUCCAGGUGUAGCGGUGAAAUGCGUAGAGAUCUGGAGGAAUACCGAUGGCGAAGGCAGCCAUCUGGCCUAAUACUGACGCUGAGGUACGAAAGCAUGGGGAGCAAACAGGAUUAGAUACCCUGGUAGUCCAUGCCGUAAACGAUGUCUACUAGCCGUUGGGGCCUUUGAGGCUUUAGUGGCGCAGCUAACGCGAUAAGUAGACCGCCUGGGGAGUACGGUCGCAAGACUAAAACUCAAAUGAAUUGACGGGGGCCCGCACAAGCGGUGGAGCAUGUGGUUUAAUUCGAUGCAACGCGAAGAACCUUACCUGGUCUUGACAUAGUAAGAACUUUCCAGAGAUGGAUUGGUGCCUUCGGGAACUUACAUACAGGUGCUGCAUGGCUGUCGUCAGCUCGUGUCGUGAGAUGUUGGGUUAAGUCCCGCAACGAGCGCAACCCUUUUCCUUAUUUGCCAGCGGGUUAAGCCGGGAACUUUAAGGAUACUGCCAGUGACAAACUGGAGGAAGGCGGGGACGACGUCAAGUCAUCAUGGCCCUUACGACCAGGGCUACACACGUGCUACAAUGGUCGGUACAAAGGGUUGCUACCUAGCGAUAGGAUGCUAAUCUCAAAAAGCCGAUCGUAGUCCGGAUUGGAGUCUGCAACUCGACUCCAUGAAGUCGGAAUCGCUAGUAAUCGCGGAUCAGAAUGCCGCGGUGAAUACGUUCCCGGGCCUUGUACACACCGCCCGUCACACCAUGGGAAUUUGUUGCACCAGAAGUAGGUAGUCUAACCGCAAGGAGGACGCUACCACGGUGCCCGUUGCGA
Molecule: ribosomal RNA, 1072 nt
Filed under: Acinetobacter sp. 5-29(2010)
Lineage: Bacteria; Pseudomonadati; Pseudomonadota; Gammaproteobacteria; Moraxellales; Moraxellaceae
Description: bacterial SSU rRNA
Rfam family: Bacterial small subunit ribosomal RNA
Source: RNAcentral